AGCGAACGUUUGCGGCGGGCUUAACACAUGCAAGUCGAACGGGCUGUUCCUUCGGGGGCAGUCAGUGGCGCACGGGUGCGUAACACGUAGGUAAUCAACCCUCUGGUUGGGGAUAACACUUCGAAAGGAGUGCUAAUACCCGGUAUGGCGCAGCGGUCUUCGGAUCGCGGCGAGAAAGACCCGCAAGGGUUGCCAGAGGACGAGCCUGCGGCCCAUCAGCUAGUUGGCGAGGUAACGGCUCACCAAGGCGAAGACGGGUAGCUGGUCUGAGAGGAUGAUCAGCCACACUGGAACUGAGACACGGUCCAGACUCCUACGGGAGGCAGCAGUGGGGAAUUUUGGACAAUGGGCGCAAGCCUGAUCCAGCCAUGCCGCGUGAGUGAAGAAGGCCUUCGGUUGGUAAGACGUCUUUCGGUCCGGGAAGGAAAGUACGCACAGGUUAAU
Molecule: ribosomal RNA, 444 nt
Filed under: uncultured bacterium
Lineage: Bacteria
Description: bacterial SSU rRNA
Rfam family: Bacterial small subunit ribosomal RNA
Source: RNAcentral